GACGAACGCUGGCGGCGUGCUUAACACAUGCAAGUCGAACGGAAAGGCCCUGCUUUUGUGGGGUGCUCGAGUGGCGAACGGGUGAGUAACACGUGAGUAACCUGCCCUUGACUUUGGGAUAACUUCAGGAAACUGGGGCUAAUACCGGAUAGGAGCUCCUGCUGCAUGGUGGGGGUUGGAAAGUUUCGGCGGUUGGGGAUGGACUCGCGGCUUAUCAGCUUGUUGGUGGGGUAGUGGCUUACCAAGGCUUUGACGGGUAGCCGGCCUGAGGGGGUGACCGGCCACAUUGGGACUGAGAUACGGCCCAGACUCCUACGGGAGGCAGCAGUGGGGAAUAUUGCACAAUGGGGGGAAGCCGGAUGCAGCAACGCCGCGUGCGGGAUGACGGCCUUCGGGUUGUAAACCGCUUUCGCCUGUGACGAAGCGUGAGUGACGGUAAUGGGUAAAGAAGCAACGGCUAACUACGUG
RNAcentral lists this ribosomal RNA (468 nucleotides) under uncultured bacterium. Its description in RNAcentral is "partial 16S ribosomal RNA". It matches the Rfam family "Bacterial small subunit ribosomal RNA", at positions 28 to 507 of the family's 1533-position model. The record is from RNAcentral.